CGUGGCUCAGCGGUAGAGCAUCGCCUUGCCAAGGCGAGGGUCGCGGGUUCGAUUCCCGUCG
Molecule: transfer RNA, 61 nt
Filed under: Saccharibacillus sacchari DSM 19268
Lineage: Bacteria; Bacillati; Bacillota; Bacilli; Caryophanales; Paenibacillaceae
Rfam family: tRNA
About the family: Transfer RNA (tRNA) molecules are approximately 80 nucleotides in length. Their secondary structure includes four short double-helical elements and three loops (D, anti-codon, and T loops). Further hydrogen bonds mediate the characteristic L-shaped molecular structure. tRNAs have two regions of fundamental functional importance: the anti-codon, which is responsible for specific mRNA codon recognition, and the 3' end, to which the tRNAs corresponding amino acid is attached (by aminoacyl-tRNA synthetases). tRNAs cope with the degeneracy of the genetic code in two manners: having more than one tRNA (with a specific anti-codon) for a particular amino acid; and 'wobble' base-pairing, i.e. permitting non-standard base-pairing at the 3rd anti-codon position.
Source: Rfam by way of RNAcentral